Molecule: ribosomal RNA, 524 nt
Filed under: uncultured bacterium
Lineage: Bacteria
Description: partial 16S ribosomal RNA
Rfam family: Bacterial small subunit ribosomal RNA
Source: RNAcentral
GACGAACGCUGGCGGCGUGCUUAACACAUGCAAGUCGAACGAGACGAUUGAAAGCUUGCUUUCGAAAGUCGAGUGGCAAACGGGUGAGUAACGCGUAGACAACCUGCCUUUGAGAUGGGGACAACAGUUCGAAAGGACUGCUAAUACCGAAUGUUGUAUAUUUUCCACAUGGAAGAUAUGUUAAAGAUGGCCUCUAUUUAUAAGCUAUCGCUCAAAGAUGGGUUUGCUUCUGAUUAGCUGGUUGGUGGGGUAACGGCCUACCAAGGCGACGAUCAGUAGCCGGUCUGAGAGGAUGAACGGCCACAUUGGGACUGAGACACGGCCCAGACUCCUACGGGAGGCAGCAGUGGGGAAUCUUCCACAAUGGACGAAAGUCUGAUGGAGCAACGCCGCGUGAGUGAAGAAGGGUUUCGGCUCGUAAAGCUCUGUUGUCGGGGACGAAUGUGCAGUAUUUGAAUAAAGUACUGCAAUGACGGUACCUGACGAGGAAGCCACGGCUAACUACGUGCCAGCAGCCGCCGUAA